Brachypodium distachyon (stiff brome) is the source of this 4141-nucleotide RNA transcript. RefSeq lists it as uncharacterized. NCBI's taxonomy places the organism in Eukaryota, Viridiplantae, Streptophyta, Magnoliopsida, Poales, Poaceae. The transcript has 4 exons. The record is from RefSeq and is a predicted model, not a curated record.
CUAUUCUCAUCGAGCCAGCACACUACCGACUGGAGUACUCUAGAAGGGAUACAAAGAGUCAAUUCCUUCGAUUGAUUUUUAUCCGUGACCACCCCCAUGACCUCCAGCUGCCACAAACAUCCAUUCGCUUCUUCUCCCCAUGCAUCUAACAAUUCAACUCGACUGCACUGCGGCUACAAAUUUGGUCCAGAUAGCCACCGGCAAGAAUCCCUCUCAAUCGCUCUCCUCUGCCAUGUUCCUACCUCCACGCCGAUCACCACACACUCCAUCCCUCAACCUCAGGCAGCCUCCUGUAUUUGAUCUCGACAUAGAAGACUCAAGUUCCCCUCGCUCUUGGUUUCUGUAUGCGGUUUCGCACUGAAGCAUGGGAUGGAUAUGCAAGUCUCUGGCCCAGAACUCUCUUCGCUAUUGUCUGGGCAUUGUACGAUUGAAAAUGAUGUUGCCUUUUCCGCUCAUAGCCUCAAAUCCAACGUUUCCAAUCCAUUUGCCAGAACAGAUUUUAUCAUAUGUGGCGUCCCUAAAAAAAGGUUGUCGUCACCCAUUGUACACUCCCUAUAUUUUCUUCAACUAUAUAUGGAUGACAUGGUUUCGUUACUCAUCUUCAACAAUGGAGAGAAAAAGAGAUGCAGUUUGUCAUUGGACAACACGUGGAUUUGUUCUGUAUGGUUAUGGAACUCGUGUUUGCCAGAUUUCAGGCUACUAUGGACUACAGAAGGUGGAGUUUUUAUAUAUAUCAGGUCUUCACUUGAAAAAUAUCAAAUCGUUAUUGGUACGACACCUUUUUCCUACACAUCGAACUGCAUGCGUGCAAAAAAGAAAAAUCCCUGGUAUGGUACAACCCCGCUACUUCUCAAUUGUUUCCCAUCAAUCCAUAUUCAUUCACUUUGUUACAGGGCACUUUGAAGCAAUAAAAAUUAAAAAAACAUGUUUUAUCACGACAUACCCGAGUAUUUUAUCACAUCAUACACAAAUACUAUAUAAUAUUUUUUAUGUGCUAUGAUGCUAUGUCACAUGAUAUAUGUGCAACUUCUAUAAAUUCCCGUCGCAACGCACGUGUAUCCUUCUAGUUUUUCUAAAACUCCACCACUUGUUAUGGACAUGGUUGUAUGAAGAUUGGGUUCUUAACCUAUUGAUUAUUAUUCCUCUUUACCUCUCAGUGAUGUGUGCGUCGUUUCUUUCCCUUCAAGUCACAUAGUAAAGAGUAAAAUACUUAGUUCAUGAAUUCGGCAAAAAUAAACACUUUAGUUCACGAACUCGGAAAACGCACACUUAAAUCUCUAAGCUGGGCUACUGUGUCACUUUAGUCCAAAAACGGUUCGGUGAGGUUUAAUUCCACCAUGUGGCCGCCACGUUGGCUUUGAUCACCCCUUCACCUGCGUCCUCUCGUCAAAGUUGAGCAUUGUGGCUUGAUAGCAACCUUAGGCGAGGCGGCGGCUGCAACGGCGUGGUUCUCAAGGGCCCAGGAUCCCCGUCUGGAUGUGACCGCCUUGCUCCUCGCGAGCGGCUCGGGCAUGGUGAUUUUGCAAAAAAAAAAUCCCUUGAGAAAAUCGAGUAGCUACCCGCGGUCUUGGCCGAACCUGACGUGACAGUUUAGGAAUUUAAGUGUGCGUUUUCUGAGUUCGUGGAUUAAAAUGUUCAUUUUUUUCGAGUUCAUGGAUCAGCGGAAUAUUUUUACUCCACAGUAAAGGGUGCUAUAAUUUGUAGGCCGGCGGAGGAACGACCGUGGAACGGGCUAGGGGCGCUGGCCGAACGAGAUGAGGCGGUGCUGGCCGAACGGGUUGAGGCGCCGAUGGGGUAUCCUCCAGAGGCGCCAGCGCACGUGUCCUUUUUGGGUGCUGGCCCAUCUCCUCGAUGCGGCGGCGCCGGCGAUUGUAGAGCUUGGGAGGCUGAGGCGCUGACGGCGGGUCGGACUGAGGCGCCAACAGGCUGAGGCGCUGACGGAGGGACGGGCUGAGGCGCCGGCACACGCGAUUUGGGGGUGAUUCGAGAGUUCCGGAGGCAGCGAUUUUGCAACUGAUAUAUGGAAUUGAUUUUUUUACCGCACUAUACGGUCGCUGGCCCAUUCAUGAAGUUCGACCGGGGCGUUCGAAGACGUCGACUCCAGCACCAAGACGCGCAUAUGGCUGGACGCUAUGGACGGCGAUCUUGGGCCACCAGCCCCAUCCAACGGUGAGAGAGUGAGAAAACAACACUACCUGUGGCGGAGGCGGAGCCACCACUGCUCCCACUUGGACCUCCCCGACGCCGCCGCCCCUGGCCCUGUUCCUUUUCCUUCCUUGGUGCAUCCACACGCCCGUCUCCGAUUUGGUCUUCAUCCUAUUCCUACUCUGAUUCCCUCUCGAAUCCAUAGAUAUAUACCAGCAACCUCGAUCCCGGCUCAGGAAAUCCAUCGAUACAUCGACGAUGAACUGGACGGGGUGUUUCAUGGACGCCUCCCUGCAUCCUCCUACCCACCCUCGCCGUCCCAAAUCCGGCGACGGCGAUCCCACCUGGGUCCUCCUCGACAACCGCGCCUACAUCACUGACACCCAGAACCACACCACAGCCCACUGCCACACAAGAGACAAGACCAACAAGGUGCAAGUCACAUUCUUUUUCGCCGCCCCGCCCCUCGUCUCCUACUUCGGCAUGUCUUUCACAGAUUCCAAGCCCACCGAGUUGGGCCGUGAGCCAUGUAUUGCCGCCGCCGACUCCAACCUCGUCCUUAUCUUCUCUGUCCACGGCCCUUGGCACAAAAUCUACGAUAGGAGGAUGCACGACUUCUACAUCUACCAGGCCGACGGGCCCUCCGAAGGGGGGCCGUCGCUGAAGCUGCUCCCGCAUCCGACGCCUGGUGUGUUCCCGUCGGAUAGCCGCUGCUACUUCCAUCACCGCCAGGCUGGUAUCCUGCGCUAUCGCAACGAGCGGCCCGCCCGUGGGCUCGCCCUUUGCCGCCACGGCCCCGUCAACCUACGACGGCUACAUCAUCGCCUCACUCUGUUUGGGGGAAUUAGAUGAGGAAAUAGACGAGCUGCCGUACAAGUUUGAUAUCUGCACCUACGACUCCAAAACUGAAACUUGGAGCAGGCAGCCCGCUUUGCUGCACAAGCAGCAGCAUCUCCCCGAGCGUCCUCCCGAGAGUGAGAGGGUGAUCACCAUUCGAGAAGAGACCGGCACCAUGGGCUGGGUCGACCUCUGGCGGGGCAUCACCGUCUGUGACGUGCUGCCUCAUCUCGAGAAGAAGAAGAGCACCCCACUGCUGCUUCGCUACAUCCCACUGCCGCCUCCGAUCCUACCUGAUCACAAGUUAAACGGCCAUUCAUCCAUGCAACGAGACAUUGCUGUUGUCGGAGGCCGUGUCAGGUACGUGGAGGUGCAGAUGCACAUCAGGCCUGUCUCCUACAUUCCGGGAACAUUCGUCUCUGAUGGCUGGACUGCUGUCACGUGGAGCAUGUCGACCGAAUCCUUGGACAAGGGUUGGGACAGGGAGCUUGAGGUCCAUGCUCACGAGGUGUCUACCGAUGAAGCCGUGGGCUUCGAGUUGCUCCCGGAGCUGCUGGAUGACAAAGGCACGCCGCAGCCAACCUUGGAGAGGAUGCACAUUGGUCAUCCCACACUCAGCUUGCACGAGGAUGACAACACCGUUUACUUCAUGACAAAGAUCGAUUACAAGGACCAUGACCAGGCAUGGGUCAUUGCAGUUGACAUGAAGAACAAGAAGUUGCAAGGGGUGUCGAGAUUUGCUGGCGCAAAAAGAAAUCGUUUCUUCACUGAGGCCUAUGUGCACAAUAGCAUCUCCGGCCAUCUCAAUAUGGUUCAAGGCAUCCAGGGUCACCUGAAGCGACCAGGGAUACCACUGUCGGGAUCUUCUAGCAAGAAGGGACCCUAUACCCUUCUGAGAUAGGGUGGGCUGGUGCAGCGGAUUCAUCAUGCUGACUCUGAUUGAUGUUCAAGUGGAAGGAGCUAGUGUCAGCGGCAUCUCAUACCUACUUUGGAUUGCAAUGAAAUGAUGAUCUCAAUGUUGGCUAGAUAUAUUAACCUGCAUCUUUUCGUUUAUUUAUAAAGGUUAUGUAUGCAUGACUCAGGAUCUAGAACGCUUGGAUGACAAUGUUUUAUCUGCCUAUUAUGUAUCCAGUCUUAUACAACACAAGUGUUUUCUAUC